RNAcentral lists this ribosomal RNA (519 nucleotides) under uncultured Sulfobacillus sp. Its description in RNAcentral is "bacterial SSU rRNA". It matches the Rfam family "Bacterial small subunit ribosomal RNA", at positions 970 to 1485 of the family's 1533-position model. Lineage: Bacteria; Bacillati; Bacillota; Clostridia; Eubacteriales; Clostridiales Family XVII. Incertae Sedis. The record is from RNAcentral.
CUUACCAAGACUAGACGGGACCGUGAGUCCCCCGAAAGGGGGAGGCUUCUUCGGAAGAGCGGUCGUCAGGUGCUGCAUGGUUGUCGUCAGCUCGUGUCGUGAGAUGUUGGGUUAAGUCCCGCAACGAGCGCAACCCCCGUCGUGUGUUGCCAGCGGUUCGGCCGGGCACUCACACGAGACUGCCGGUGACAAACCGGAGGAAGGUGGGGAUGACGUCAAAUCCGCAUGGCCUUUAUGUCUUGGGCUACACACGUGCUACAAUGGCGCCGACAACGGGCCGCCACGGCGCGAGCCGGAGCGAAUCCUUCAAACGGCGUCUCAGUUCGGAUUGCAGGCUGCAACUCGCCUGCAUGAAGCCGGAAUUGCUAGUAAUCGCGGAUCAGCAUGUCGCGGUGAAUUCGUUCCCGGGCCUUGUACACACCGCCCGUCACACCACGAGAGCUGACCACACCCGAAGCCGGUCGGUCGAACCCGCAAGGGACGAUCCCGUCGACGGUGGGGUGGGUGAUUGGGGUGAAG